UAGGGAAUCUUCGGCAAUGGGGGGAACCCUGACCGAGCAACGCCGCGUGAGUGAAGAAGGCUUUCGGAUCGUAAAGCCCUGUUGCUAAGGAAGAACGAGUGUGAGAAUGGAAAGUUCAUACUGUGACGGUACUUAACCAGAAAGGGACGGCUAACUACGUGCCAGCAGCCGCGGUAAUACGUAGUUCCCGCGCGUUGUCCGGAUUUAUUGGGCGUAAAGCAAGCGCAGGCGGUUAGCUAAGUCUGAAGUUAAAGGCAGUGGCUCAGCCAUUGUAGGCUUUAGAAACUGUUUAACUUGAGUGCAGAAGUGGGGAGUGGAAUUCCAUGUGUAGCGGUGAGAUGCGUGGAGAUAUGGUGGAACACCGGUGGCGAAAGCGGCUCUCAGGUCUGUAACUGUCGCUGCGGCUAGAAAGCGUGGGGAGCGAACAGG
This 429-nucleotide ribosomal RNA is filed under the name Bacteroidota bacterium. RNAcentral describes it as "Bacteroidetes bacterium partial 16S ribosomal RNA". It matches the Rfam family "Bacterial small subunit ribosomal RNA", at positions 355 to 776 of the family's 1533-position model. Lineage: Bacteria; Pseudomonadati; Bacteroidota. The record is from RNAcentral.